Molecule: ribosomal RNA, 440 nt
Filed under: uncultured bacterium
Lineage: Bacteria
Description: bacterial SSU rRNA
Rfam family: Bacterial small subunit ribosomal RNA
Source: RNAcentral
CCUACGGGUGGCAGCAGUGGGGAAUAUUGCGCAAUGGGGGAAACCCUGACGCAGCCAUGCCGCGUGAGUGACGAAGGCCUUAGGGUUGUAAAGCUCUUUCGCUAGGGAAGAUAAUGACGGUACCUAGUAAAGAAGCCCCGGCUAACUCCGUGCCAGCAGCCGCGGUAAUACGGAGGGGGCUAGCGUUGUUCGGAAUCACUGGGCGUAAAGCGCGCGUAGGCGGAUUGAUUAGUUGGGGGUGAAAUCCCGGGGCUCAACCUCGGAACUGCCUUCAAUACUGUCAGUCUUGAGUUCGUGAGAGGUAAGUGGAAUUCCGAGUGUAGAGGUGAAAUUCGUAGAUAUUCGGAAGAACACCAGUGGCGAAGGCGACUUACUGGCACGAUACUGACGCUGAGGUGCGAAAGCGUGGGGAGCAAACAGGAUUAGAUACCCUAGUAGUC